UGCUUAAUUGUUAUAGCUAGGUACAAUAUUGAGUAACAGUGAUGAUAGUGGACAUCCUUGUCUUUUUCUCAAUCUCGAUAGUAAAGCUUUCGGUUUUUCACCAUUGCGACCUUGAUCAAAUCAUUUAACCAAUCUGUCAUUCGUUUCUGUAUCUUUCUAAACAGUGGCGAAACAAUUGAAAUAGUUUUUAGGAGAAAAUAAAUGUGCCUGGACCCAAUUUUUUAGAGUAAUUUGUUUAGCUGUCUUUUGUCUGUUAUUUUACUUUUGAAGUUGAAAUAAAUUAAAAAAAUCAAUGGCGGAAGGGUGACGUCAUCAACACCGCGACAAAAGACAUUCCAUGAAAAAAAAAUCACCCAAAUAUAAGUGAAUAUAAGGGGAGAUUCCAGAACUGUGGAGGAUGGUAGAGACUGGAUGUUGAGUUGAGGAAAAGAAUAUCAGGUAGGAAGCUUCCCUCCAGGACCUGCCAGUUCCUCUUCCCUGCGCCCUCAUCCCGGCUCCUGCAAAGCUCGGGAGUUCUCCAGGGCUGGAGGCGGCCUGGCUCCCUCUCACUGGGGAAACAGAUUUUAGCGUAACGCACAGCAGUGAGUUAGAAACCCACACCUAUCCAGGCAGAGAGACCCGAGUUGACAGAAACCAAGGGUGGAAAACAGCCUGCUGAGGAAUGCUGAAAACAAAGGGGUUUGGGCCAGUGGGGAGUGAAACCGCAGCUGAAAGAGGGUGUCUGAGUGGUGCACUCGCUUAACGCAGUUACUGUCAGUGGAACCCCCUAAAUGCAGAAAGGACUUUUCUGGAGGGACCCAUCUUUCUGGAAUGAUCCCACCUGAUUCCCAGAGGCAGGAUAACCUAGAAGAGAAGAAACUUGAGGCAGAAAAACCUUACAGGAAAAAAGUCCCAGAAAUGAAAAGUGUAAGGAAAAUGGGGCACUGAGUGAAGAAGAGAAUUUAAACAAAUCAUAGGAACUGGGAAGAAAAUUCUGCACAAAAGCAAAUGGAGCAGACCAAGAUUCCUGGAAAAGGAAGAGAGGACAGAAGCUGGCAAAUUAUGGCAGGUUCUCAUGUCUCAGGUUCUGGGAAAAGCAGCACUUACAAGAGAUAGGAACUUCAUUAAGCUUCUGUUUGCUGUCAGAAUUUACGAUCCAGUAUCAAAUGUGAAAGUGGACAUGCAUUCUUAAGAUUUGGUCACCUUCUGCUUGUCUGGCUGUGAGUGAAAAUCCAGAGUAAGUUAGGUGCCAGCUGAGAUAUUUACAAUGCAAUCACAGGUGAGUAGAGAAUUCUUCUUUAACUGAAAUUGUACCUCUGCUGCCAAGAGAUGGGAACAUUUCUCCUGUUAGUGUGGAUAUUGCAAGUGCAUUCAGGAAC
This 1358-nucleotide long non-coding RNA is filed under the name Dasypus novemcinctus (nine-banded armadillo). RNAcentral describes it as "lncRNA (ENSDNOG00000051531.1)". The record is from RNAcentral. Lineage: Eukaryota; Metazoa; Chordata; Mammalia; Cingulata; Dasypodidae.